UACGUAGGGUGCAAGCGUUGUCCGGAAUUAUUGGGCGUAAAGAGCUCGUAGGCGGUUUGUCGCGUCUGCUGUGAAAACCCGGGGCUUAACUCCGGGCCUGCAGUGGGUACGGGCAGACUAGAGUGCGGUAGGGGAGACUGGAAUUCCUGGUGUAGCGGUGAAAUGCGCAGAUAUCAGGAGGAACACCGGUGGCGAAGGCGGGUCUCUGGGCCGUAACUGACGCUGAGGAGCGAAAGCGUAGGGAGCAAACAGG
This 253-nucleotide ribosomal RNA is filed under the name uncultured bacterium. Its description in RNAcentral is "partial 16S ribosomal RNA". It matches the Rfam family "Bacterial small subunit ribosomal RNA", at positions 524 to 776 of the family's 1533-position model. The record is from RNAcentral.